Molecule: small RNA, 978 nt
Filed under: Pan troglodytes (chimpanzee)
Lineage: Eukaryota; Metazoa; Chordata; Mammalia; Primates; Hominidae
Description: processed transcript
Source: RNAcentral
UCCUUUGGUGCCUUGUGACCAGGGCCCUGAUGGUUCAUUAGAUGGAGCCUUCGAGUCUUAGGGAGUUGCCGCAGGGUCCCCACAGCGGCUCCCGACGGUUGUGAACCAGCAUCCAUCUUCCACGGCUUCCGGCAACCCACCUGGCCCUGGACGUGUCUCAACUGGCCCGCGCGAGGGGCCGCCCCGGAAAUGACGCGCUGCCCCGCUGGCCAAGCGGAAGUGGAGAUGGCGGAGCUGUACGUGAAGCCGGCCCCAGUAUAAGCUAACAGUGGAGUUCCGGGCUCGCUUCACACAUCCCUCGCCUCCGCAGGCAACAAGGAGCGCGGCUGGAACGACCCGCCGCAGUUCUCAUACGGGCUGCAGACCCAGGCCGGCGGACCCAGGCGCUCGCUGCUUACCAAGAGGGUCGCCGCACCCCAGGAUGGAUCCCCCAGAGUCCCCGCAUCAGAGACUUCUCCUGGGCCUCCCCCAAUGGGGCCUCCACCUCCUUCAAGUAAGGCUCCCAGGUCCCCACCUGUGGGGAGUGGUCCUGCCUCUGGCGUGGAGCCCACAAGUUUCCCAGUCGAGUCUGAGGCUGUGAUGGAGGAUGUGCUGAGACCUUUGGAACAGGCAUUGGAAGACUGCCGUGGCCACACAAGGAAGCAGGUAUGUGAUGACAUCAGCCGACGCCUGGCACUGCUGCAGGAACAGUGGGCUGGAGGAAAGUUGUCAAUACCUGUAAAGAAGAGAAUGGCUCUACUGGUGCAAGAGCUUUCAAGCCACCGGUGGGACGCAGCAGAUGACAUCCAUCGCUCCCUCAUGGUUGACCAUGUGACUGAGGUCAGUCAGUGGAUGGUAGGAGUUAAAAGAUUAAUUGCAGAAAAGAGGAGUCUGUUUUCAGAGGAGGCAGCCAAUGAAGAGAAAUCUGCAGCCACAGCUGAGAAGAACCAUACCAUACCAGGCUUCCAGCAGGCUCCAUAAUCCUCGGUUCCCCAGACU